RNAcentral lists this transfer RNA (84 nucleotides) under Candidatus Jordarchaeales archaeon. RNAcentral describes it as "tRNA-Leu". It matches the Rfam family "tRNA". Rfam says of the family: Transfer RNA (tRNA) molecules are approximately 80 nucleotides in length. Lineage: Archaea; Promethearchaeati; Candidatus Jordarchaeia; Candidatus Jordarchaeales. The record is from RNAcentral. RNAcentral also lists the same sequence under 1 other name.
GCGGGGGUUGCCGAGCUGGUUAAAAGCGCCGGACUUAAGAUCCGGUCCCGUAGGGGUUCGUGGGUUCGAAUCCCACCCCCCGCA